GAUGAACGCNAGNGACAGGCCUAACACAUGCAAGUCGAGGGGCAGCAUUGUAGCUUGCUACAGAUGGCGACCGGCGCACGGGUGCGUAACGCGUAUGCAACCUACCCUUUACAGGGGGAUAGCCCGGAGAAAUCCGGAUUAAUACCCCAUAAUAUUAUGAAUCUGCAUGGAUUUAUGAUUAAAGUUUCGGCGGUAAAGGAUGGGCAUGCGUAUGAUUAGUUAGUUGGUGAGGUAACGGCUCACCAAGGCAACGAUCAUUAGGGGUUCUGAGAGGAAGGUCCCCCACACUGGUACUGAGACACGGACCAGACUCCUACGGGAGGCAGCAGUGAGGAAUAUUGGUCAAUGGGCGCAAGCCUGAACCAGCCAUGUCGCGUGCAGGAAGACUGCCCUAUGGGUUGUAAACUGCUUUUAUACGGGAAUAACCACAGAUACGUGUAUCUGUCUGUAUGUACCGUACGAAUAAGCACCGGCUAACUCCGUGCCAGCAGCCGCGGUAAUACGGAGGGUGCAAGCGUUACUCGGAAUCACUGGGCGUAAAGAGCGUGU
RNAcentral lists this ribosomal RNA (549 nucleotides) under uncultured bacterium. RNAcentral's name for it is "bacterial SSU rRNA". It matches the Rfam family "Bacterial small subunit ribosomal RNA", at positions 28 to 572 of the family's 1533-position model. The record is from RNAcentral.